UUGUGCCGUAGCGGAAGCUGCGGCUGGAUCACCUCCUUUCUAGGGAGACCUAGAUACGUCGACCGGGCUUGGACGGACGCCUCGAGCGUCCGGGCGCUGCUCAGUUUUCAGAGACGCCGGCGGGAGACCCCCGUGCGGUCGCCUCCGUGGACCUUGAAAACUGCACUAGGCCGAGCGUCCCCACUCCGGGGACGCUUAUGAGUGCUCCAUUGCAUUAAACGGGUCGCGCCUGGCGGCGCACCCUCGCAUGAAGCACUCAAAGGGUAAGAAGCCGAGCUCUCACGCCUCGAGCGUGAGGGCAGCUCACCGUCAAGAUAGUAAGGGCACACGGUGGAUACCUAGGCACACAGAGA
This 353-nucleotide unclassified non-coding RNA is filed under the name uncultured bacterium. RNAcentral's name for it is "partial contains 16S ribosomal RNA, 16S-23S ribosomal RNA intergenic spacer, and 23S ribosomal RNA". The record is from RNAcentral.